GGCAGACGUUGUAGGGUGUUAACACCUUCCCUACACGUAACCGACUCCCGAACCUAAAAUCUCGUUUUUGCAGACUAUGCCUUAUCAUUUUAUGGUUUUUUUCCAUAGUUUUCCAUAAUAAACUAUGGUGGCGACUCCAAAUCUUUUUUUUCGAAAAUCUCGAUUUGUCGAUUUUUUUUGGAUCGUCGUCUGUCGCGAUUCCGUUUCGACAGAUGGUGACUCCCAAUUUUGUCCGGUGACUAAAUAAUAGGACUUGCUUUUAUUUUUUUAAUUUUUAUUUUGUUUUAUUGUUUUUAUUUUUAGUUUAUUAUUUAGUGUUUGGUUUAGUUUAAUUUUCAUUGUUUAAUUUUUGUUUUGUUGUAUUUUAUUUUACUUUAUUUUAGUUUUUAUAUAUGAUUAAAAAAA
RNAcentral lists this long non-coding RNA (405 nucleotides) under Vigna radiata. RNAcentral's name for it is "long non-coding RNA (VRAD_LNC017761)". Lineage: Eukaryota; Viridiplantae; Streptophyta; Magnoliopsida; Fabales; Fabaceae. The record is from RNAcentral.